This 220-nucleotide ribosomal RNA is filed under the name uncultured bacterium. Its description in RNAcentral is "partial 16S ribosomal RNA". It matches the Rfam family "Bacterial small subunit ribosomal RNA", at positions 1251 to 1471 of the family's 1533-position model. The record is from RNAcentral.
CAACCUGGGAAAAGAAGGGAAUUCCAAAAAAUGCGUUGUAGUUCNGGUUGGAGUUUUUACUUGACUCCAUGAAGUUGGAAUUGNUUGUAAUUGUGGAUUAGAAUGCCCCCGGGAAGAAGUUUUUCGGCCUUGUUCACACCGCCCCUCAACACAUGGGAGUGGGNGGCAAAAGAAGUGGGUAGUAUAACCUUCCGGAGNAGGUCUCCACACUNUGNUCACA